This 219-nucleotide long non-coding RNA is filed under the name Olea europaea (common olive). RNAcentral describes it as "long non-coding RNA (OEUR_LNC010135)". The record is from RNAcentral. Lineage: Eukaryota; Viridiplantae; Streptophyta; Magnoliopsida; Lamiales; Oleaceae.
CAUAGUUGCCAAGUUUUAUAUAAUUCAAAAGAAGAGCACGGAAUCAAAUAUUUAUUGUUACAUUAAAACAAGCUAAGACCUAAUAUAUAUAAAUUUGUUAAAUAUAUUAUCACAAUUCAACAAAUGGCAUAAUGGUCAAACCACUAAUAAUUUUAAGAAUAGCUCCAGGUUCGAAUCCCCCCUCCUCAUUCCAUUGAUUUUAAAUUGUAAAACUAAAAA